RNAcentral lists this transfer RNA (69 nucleotides) under Atherina boyeri (big-scale sand smelt). RNAcentral's name for it is "tRNA-His". It matches the Rfam family "tRNA". From Rfam's summary of the family: Transfer RNA (tRNA) molecules are approximately 80 nucleotides in length. The record is from RNAcentral. Lineage: Eukaryota; Metazoa; Chordata; Actinopteri; Atheriniformes; Atherinidae.
GUGGAUAUAGUUUAAUUAAAAUAUUGGAUUGUGAUUCCAAGGAUGGGGGUUAAAAGCCCCUUAUCCGCC